This 497-nucleotide ribosomal RNA is filed under the name uncultured bacterium. RNAcentral's name for it is "partial 16S ribosomal RNA". It matches the Rfam family "Bacterial small subunit ribosomal RNA", at positions 28 to 507 of the family's 1533-position model. The record is from RNAcentral.
GACGAACGCUGGCGGCGUGCCUAUUACAUGCAAGUUGAGCGCUGAAGGUUGGUACUUGUACCGACUGGAUGAGCAGCGAACGGGUGAGUAACGCGUGGGGAAUCUGCCUUUGAGCGGGGGACAACAUUUGGAAACGAAUGCUAAUACCGCAUAAAAACUUUAAACACAAGUUUUAAGUUUGAAAGAUGCAAUUGCAUCACUCAAAGAUGAUCCCGCGUUGUAUUAGCUAGUUGGUGAGGUAAAGGCUCACCAAGGCGAUGAUACAUAGCCGACCUGAGAGGGUGAUCGGCCACAUUGGGACUGAGACACGGCCCAAACUCCUACGGGAGGCAGCAGUAGGGAAUCUUCGGCAAUGGACGAAAGUCUGACCGAGCAACGCCGCGUGAGUGAAGAAGGUUUUCGGAUCGUAAAACUCUGUUGGUAGAGAAGAACGUUGGUGAGAGUGGAAAGCUCAUCAAGUGACGGUAACUACCCAGAAAGGGACGGCUAACUACGUG